GCGCGAAAACUUUACAACGCUGGCAACAGCGAUAAGGGAACCUCGAGUGCCAGGUUACAAAUCUGGCUGUCGAGAUGCCUAAAAAGCAUUUCAUAGCAAGGGUCGGGCAAGACCGGUGCCAGCCGCCGCGGUAACACCGGCGGCUCGAGUGGUAACCGUUAUUAUUGGGUCUAAAGGGUCUGUAGCCGGCCGGAUAAGUCUCUUGAGAAAUCUGGCAGCUUAACUGUCAGGCUUUCAGGAGAUACUGUCUGGCUCGAGGCCGGGAGAGGUGAGAGGUACUUCAGGGGUAGGGGUGAAAUCUUGUAAUCCUUGAAGGACCACCAGUGGCGAAGGCGUCUCACCAGAACGGACCUGACGGCAAGGGUCGAAAGCUAGGGGCACGAACCG
This 387-nucleotide ribosomal RNA is filed under the name uncultured bacterium. RNAcentral describes it as "bacterial SSU rRNA". It matches the Rfam family "Archaeal small subunit ribosomal RNA", at positions 339 to 726 of the family's 1478-position model. The record is from RNAcentral.